Molecule: ribosomal RNA, 253 nt
Filed under: uncultured bacterium
Lineage: Bacteria
Description: partial 16S ribosomal RNA
Rfam family: Bacterial small subunit ribosomal RNA
Source: RNAcentral
UACGGAGGAUCCAAGCGUUAUCCGGAUUUAUUGGGUUUAAAGGGUGCGUAGGCGGCCUGUUAAGUCAGGGGUGAAAGACGGUAGCUCAACUAUCGCAGUGCCCUUGAUGCUGAUGGGCUUGAAUUGACUAGAGGUAGGCGGAAUGUGACAAGUAGCGGUGAAAUGCAUAGAUAUGUCACAGAACACCGAUUGCGAAGGCAGCUUACUAUGGUCUUAUUGACGCUGAGGCACGAAAGCGUGGGGAUCAAACAGG